RNAcentral lists this ribosomal RNA (405 nucleotides) under uncultured bacterium. RNAcentral describes it as "bacterial SSU rRNA". It matches the Rfam family "Bacterial small subunit ribosomal RNA", at positions 355 to 776 of the family's 1533-position model. The record is from RNAcentral.
UGGGGAAUAUUGUGCAAUGAGCGAAAGCUUGACACAGCGACACCGCGUGUGGGAUGACGGUUCUAGGAUUGUAAACCACUUUCAGGAGGGAAGAAAAUGACGGUACCUCCACAAGAAGCCCCGGCCAACUACGUGCCAGCAGCCGCGGUAAUACGUAGGGGGCGAGCGUUGUCCGGAUUUAUUGGGCGUAAAGAGCUCGUAGGCGGUUCAACAAGUCGGUCGUGAAAGUUUAGGGCUUAACCCUGAAAUGUCGAUCGAUACUGUUGUGACUAGGAUAUGGUAGAGGUGAAUGGAAUUCCGAGUGUAGCGGUGAAAUGCGUAGAUAUUCGGAGGAACACCAAUUGCGAAGGCAGUUCACUGGACCACUAUCGACGCUGAGGAGCGAAAGCUAGGGGAGCAAACAGG